UACUCGGCUACGAACCGAGCGGUCAAAGGUUCGAAUCCUUUCGGGUGCGCCA
RNAcentral lists this transfer RNA (52 nucleotides) under Pasteurellaceae bacterium. RNAcentral's name for it is "tRNA-Ser". It matches the Rfam family "tRNA", at positions 24 to 71 of the family's 71-position model. Rfam says of the family: Transfer RNA (tRNA) molecules are approximately 80 nucleotides in length. The record is from RNAcentral. Lineage: Bacteria; Pseudomonadati; Pseudomonadota; Gammaproteobacteria; Pasteurellales; Pasteurellaceae.